CCCCAGACUCCUACGGGAGGCAGCAGUGAGGAAUAUUGGUCAAUGGGCGCGAGCCUGAACCAGCCAAGUCGUGUGAGGGAUGACGGCCCUACGGGUUGUAAACCUCUUUUGUCGGGGAGCAAAUUCCGCCACGUGUGGCGGAGUCGAGAGUACCCGAAGAAAAAGCAUCGGCUAACUCCGUGCCAGCAGCCGCGGUAAUACGGAGGAUGCGAGCGUUAUCCGGAUUUAUUGGGUUUAAAGGGUGCGUAGGCGGAAUAUCAAGUCAGCGGUAAAAAUUCGGGGCUCAACCCCGUCGUGCCGUUGAAACUGAUGUUCUUGAGUGGGCGAGAAGUAUGCGGAAUGCGUGGUGUAGCGGUGAAAUGCAUAGAUAUCACGCAGAACUCCGAUUGCGAAGGCAGCAUGCCGGCGCCCAACUGACGCUGAAGCACGAAAGCGUGGGUAUCGAACAGGAUUAGAUACCCGAGUAG
RNAcentral lists this ribosomal RNA (467 nucleotides) under uncultured bacterium. RNAcentral's name for it is "bacterial SSU rRNA". It matches the Rfam family "Bacterial small subunit ribosomal RNA", at positions 329 to 793 of the family's 1533-position model. The record is from RNAcentral.